GGUCCCCAGCUGUGCAGAUGCGCGGCGGUGGCGCGUUUCCAAUGCUUUGUUUCAGUCAGAAGACUGACCUCGUUGUAGAAGCUAAUGAGUAAAAGCACAGCUCAUAUUCCCAUGUUCUCACUGACUUUGUCAUGCUCUUGGAACCCCAUUUCUUUAGGAUCGAGACAGACAGCUGCAGAUGGAGCUUCCUGGUGCUCCUGAAAGUCUGUCUGCAUCAGAAGCCCCACCUGAAGCUACUGAGAGCCAGCGCAGGGAUGAUGAGAAAGACGCAGAGCGCUUGCAAGAGGAAUUGGAGACAGCUAAAGCUGAGUGUCAGUGUGGGAGAAGGAAAGAGAAGCAGCAGGUCGAGUUGAAACGCCCAGUCGAAGUGCGCCUCGAGCAGGAAAUGAAAAGGAACAGCGAACUGCAGAGAGAAUGUGACAGGUUAAGGAGGCAUCUGAACGCAGCUCUGCAGAAACUAAGCAAAUAUGAGGCCAGAGAAAGAGAGACCCAGUUUAAUACUGCAGAAGACAUGACGAGCAGCUGCUCUGAAGGGGCCCGUGAAGUUGAUGAAUUAACAGCAAAGGUG
This 568-nucleotide long non-coding RNA is filed under the name Cairina moschata (Muscovy duck). RNAcentral describes it as "domestica (muscovy Duck (domestic type)) lncRNA (ENSCMMG00000003998.1)". The record is from RNAcentral. Lineage: Eukaryota; Metazoa; Chordata; Aves; Anseriformes; Anatidae.